UCAAUUCUAGGCCAAACCGCAAAUUCCAAACCAUGAAAAUUAUUGUCCACCUUCAGUUAUAUCUUUUUCACAAUUUUCAGACCAUUCCACCAUCGAAAACAUCAACCCCGAUGUUUUGAAAAACUCCGCCGAGCUUCAGUUGCCGGAAAUGGAGUUUCAGGGUUUCAAAUGGAACAGAACGAAUGCAAAAUUCUUGACUUUCACUAGAAAUAGAGAAGAUUUGGGUGAGAUUGGUUCGUUUAAGUUCUGUGGAAGCACGAUAAAACACAUCCAGUUCUUCAGUCGACGAACGUAGAAUAUAUUUCAAUCUGGGUUCAAAAUUUGGUAGGAUUUGGUAGUAUUCCUCUGAACAAAUCUGAAAAUUCAAAAGGAAAAUUUCACCAGAAAAAAUUACCGACAUUAACUAAGAUCAAAUAUGCUAUCUGUCACUUAUUUUUUUAGCCAUUUUCGUUAUUCCUACACUUUCGUUGGCGGAGCGCUUUUUAUUUUUCAGACAAUCUCGGUUGGUAACCAUGGUGUAGGGGGAGAGAGAGCGGAACCUGAUAACGUGUGAAAGAGUAGGAGAAAAAGAAUGAGAAAAGAAUUUAACAAGAAAUAUUGAUCAAUCAGCUCUGAGAAACAGAUGUAAUUAAAGUGUUCAAAUAAAACUAACGAAUGUGUAAGUGAAGAACGGGACAAUUUUAAGGGGCUCUCGAUAUAUUUGGCCUAAUAAAAAUAACUUUAGUAAAUUAUUCCUUAUAUUUAUUAUUUUUAAAAUGAACGUAAAAGAGCGAAAGUA
RNAcentral lists this long non-coding RNA (778 nucleotides) under Nicotiana benthamiana. RNAcentral describes it as "long non-coding RNA (NBEN_LNC020780)". Lineage: Eukaryota; Viridiplantae; Streptophyta; Magnoliopsida; Solanales; Solanaceae. The record is from RNAcentral.